CCUACGGGAGGCAGCAGUAGGGAAUCUUCCGCAAUGGACGAAAGUCUGACGGAGCAACGCCGCGUGAACGAAGAAGGCCUUCGGGUCGUAAAGUUCUGUUGUUAGGGAAGAACAAGUACGAGAGUAACUGCUCGUACCUUGACGGUACCUAACCAGAAAGCCACGGCUAACUACGUGCCAGCAGCCGCGGUAAUACGUAGGUGGCAAGCGUUGUCCGGAAUUAUUGGGCGUAAAGCGCGCGCAGGCGGUCCUUUAAGUCUGAUGUGAAAGCCCACGGCUCAACCGUGGAGGGUCAUUGGAAACUGGGGGACUUGAGUGCAGAAGAGGAGAGUGGAAUUCCACGUGUAGCGGUGAAAUGCGUAGAGAUGUGGAGGAACACCAGUGGCGAAGGCGACUCUCUGGUCUGUAACUGACGCUGAGGCGCGAAAGCGUGGGGAGCAAACAGGAUUAGAUACCCUGGUAGUCCACGCCGUAAACGAUGAGUGCUAAGUGUUAGAGGGUUUCCGCCCUUUAGUGCCGCAGCUAACGCAUUAAGCACUCCGCCUGGGGAGUACGGCCGCAAGGCUGAAACUCAAAGGAAUUGACGG
This 587-nucleotide ribosomal RNA is filed under the name uncultured bacterium. RNAcentral describes it as "bacterial SSU rRNA". It matches the Rfam family "Bacterial small subunit ribosomal RNA", at positions 338 to 916 of the family's 1533-position model. The record is from RNAcentral.